UACGUAGGGUGCAAGCGUUAAUCGGAAUUACUGGGCGUAAAGCGUGCGCAGGCGGUUUUGUAAGUCUGAUGUGAAAUCCCCGGGCUCAACCUGGGAAUUGCAUUGGAGACUGCAAGGCUAGAAUCUGGCAGAGGGGGGUAGAAUUCCACGUGUAGCAGUGAAAUGCGUAGAGAUGUGGAGGAACACAGAUGGCGAAGGCAGCCCCCGGGGUCAAGAUUGA
This 220-nucleotide ribosomal RNA is filed under the name uncultured bacterium. RNAcentral describes it as "partial 16S ribosomal RNA". It matches the Rfam family "Bacterial small subunit ribosomal RNA", at positions 524 to 743 of the family's 1533-position model. The record is from RNAcentral.